AGGCAGCUGUGAGCAGGCUUUGCAUUUUUACUCAGCCUGACAAUCUUUAUCAUUUUGCCAAGGGUGUCCUGGUCAUUAAGACAGGAGCCUAGCAUAACUGUCCUCUGAGAGGCUCCACCCAGCAGUCAAUGGAAAGAGAUGCAGAGACCCACAGCCUACCAUUAGACAGAACUCAGGGUGUCUUAUAGAAGAGUUGACAGAAAGACUGAGGGACCUGAAGAGGACAAGGACUCCAAAAGAAGACCAACAGAAUCUACUAACCUGGACGCUUUGGGGCUUCAAGAAACUGAACCACCAACGAAAAACUGAGCACAGGGUUCCUAUGACUGAAAUUAGAAAACUAGUCAUCUGUGUUAUGGCCAGCCAUCAGACAACUAGCCAAACAGCUGCAUGAUCAAUUCGAUCUGACAAUGAAAUCAGAUGGAAUGAGUGUAUCCGGCUUCAUAAUGCUGCCAACGCAAUGUGGCUUCAUCAGUGCAAAUCAAUCAAUGUAAUGCUGUAACAAUGUCUCAUUAAAAAACUAAAAAACAAAAAAAAAACUUUGGUCAAGAAUCCUUAUACAGAAGACAAAAAUAAAGUACUUUGUUGCAUAGUACACGAAACUCUUGCUAUUUACUUGUUUACGCAAGUCAACUAGGGUUUUAAUUAAAAGAUCUUUGGUAUCCAUGAACAUGUACAUUUAAAAUC
Long non-coding RNA from Rattus norvegicus (Norway rat), 687 nucleotides. RefSeq lists it as uncharacterized. The record is from RefSeq and is a predicted model, not a curated record. Lineage: Eukaryota; Metazoa; Chordata; Mammalia; Rodentia; Muridae.